This 567-nucleotide ribosomal RNA is filed under the name Debaryomyces hansenii. RNAcentral describes it as "partial large subunit ribosomal RNA". It matches the Rfam family "Eukaryotic large subunit ribosomal RNA", at positions 74 to 657 of the family's 3401-position model. Lineage: Eukaryota; Fungi; Ascomycota; Pichiomycetes; Serinales; Debaryomycetaceae. The record is from RNAcentral.
AUUGCCUUAGUACGGCGAGUGAAGCGGCAAAAGCUCAAAUUUGAAAUCUGGCACCUUCGGUGUCCGAGUUGUAAUUUGAAGAAGGUAACUUUGGAGUUGGCUCUUGUCUAUGUUCCUUGGAACAGGACGUCACAGAGGGUGAGAAUCCCGUGCGAUGAGAUGCCCAAUUCUAUGUAAAGUGCUUUCGAAGAGUCGAGUUGUUUGGGAAUGCAGCUCUAAGUGGGUGGUAAAUUCCAUCUAAAGCUAAAUAUUGGCGAGAGACCGAUAGCGAACAAGUACAGUGAUGGAAAGAUGAAAAGAACUUUGAAAAGAGAGUGAAAAAGUACGUGAAAUUGUUGAAAGGGAAGGGCUUGAGAUCAGACUUGGUAUUUUGCGAUCCUUUCCUUCUUGGUUGGGUUCCUCGCAGCUUACUGGGCCAGCAUCGGUUUGGAUGGUAGGAUAAUGACUAAGGAAUGUGGCUCUACUUCGGUGGAGUGUUAUAGCCUUGGUUGAUACUGCCUGUCUAGACCGAGGACUGCGUCUUUUGACUAGGAUGUUGGCAUAAUGAUCUUAAGCCACCCGUCUUGA